This 347-nucleotide ribosomal RNA is filed under the name uncultured bacterium. RNAcentral's name for it is "partial 16S ribosomal RNA". It matches the Rfam family "Bacterial small subunit ribosomal RNA", at positions 338 to 682 of the family's 1533-position model. The record is from RNAcentral.
CCUACGGGUGGCAGCAGUGAGGAAUAUUGGUCAAUGGACGCAAGUCUGAACCAGCAAUGCCGCGUGCAGGAAGAAGGCUCUAUGAGUUGUAAACUGCUUUUGUACGAGGGUAAACGCAGAUACGCGCAUCUGUCUGAAAGUAUCGUACGAAUAAGGAUCGGCUAACGCCGUGCCAGCAGCCGCGGUAAUACGGAGGAUUCAAGCGUUAUCCGGCUUUAUUGGGUUUAAUGGGUGCGUAGGCGGACGGCUAAGUUAGAGGUGAAAUCCCGAGGCUCAACUUCGGAAUUGCCUAUGAUACUGUUCGCCUAGAGUGUAGUUGCGGUAGUCGGAAUGUAUGGUGUAGCGGU